CGGAAACAGAGGGAAAGGCAAGAUCUGAGAGACCACCCACUUCACCUAUGGAGAAUAUCUUCAUUUUUGCACAAGACUAAAGUUACAGAAUUAAGCUAAAUUGAGUUUUCCCAGCACUGCUCAGCCCGUAGGGCCACAUGAGGAAAAUAGGAUAGUUGUAGACAAAAUGAAGUCACUAGAGGUGUCUGCACAUCUGGCAGCAGCAUGAGGAGAUUUCCAUCCUUGCCAUAGACGUAAGGAUAAUCUACUUCCUCUGUUAAGGUGAUUACAGAAAACCUCACAGAGGGAGUGACAUUUGAGCAACAAGCUGGAGAAGAUGAGGAAGCAAGCCAUGGAGAUAUCCAGGAGAAGUGCUCCCAGUAAAUGGAACAGCAGGUACAGAGGCUCUGAGAGAAGAAGGUACCUGGGAUGUGCAAGGGGCAGCAUGGGCAAACGGGAGAGCAGCAGAUGAGGUCAGUGAGGUAUAGGUACAAGUGACAGAAGGACACAGAGCCCGCUGCUCCAAUACCAGCAGCUUCUUCACCUGCACUUUCACUUUCCCAGACUGCUGAACACAGCGGAAGUCACCAAACCCGCCAUGACUUGCACCAAAGGAAGGCGCCUGCAUAGGAUUUUCAGUUUUUUCUUAAGAUCCUCAUAUAUUGCGAAAGCUUUCUCUUUAUGAGAAACCUUACCCCAGAUCAUUGCAAAAUACUAAAGUGCCGGAGAAAACUGAACCUGGCCAACUAGCACUUAAUAUUGACAAAAUUUCCCAAUUUACCCAUCCUGUUUGAGCUAAUCUGCAUUAAAGAAAUAUGGACCAUAGCUGGUCGACUCCAAUUUGUCACUAGAGAACAUGGUGGACCACAUGUUAAAUGGCCAGAAAGCAAGAGAGUAAUUGGGAAGAGAAGAACGGUGAACAUUUGUUGAUUAUCAUUCCAGCAUCUAUUACUCACCCCUCCCUUCCCCUCCCCAGAGCUCUCACUUUCUAUCUCCAAGUGGUUGCAGGUAAAUAGAUUCCGUCCCUGACUCUUGUGGGAAUGUGUGACCCAGGAGAAGCCAAGCAAAGCAUUCCAUGCCCCGAGCAGCAGAGAUUUGUUCGAGGAGGCAUGUGGAUCAGAUCCAGUCAGAGUGAAUCUCAGGACUGGUGGAAAUGCUGGGUUGAAGAUGUUUUCUCCCUUUGGAUGGUAUGGCAUGUCAAGCUGAGGUAUGUGGCUACAGCAGCCACUUUUCAUCAAGGCGUGAGGAGACGAGGAAGGAGAGGCAGCCUGAGGACCAAGAAAUGGAGCCGGAACUAUGAUAACAAGCGUAAUGGAGCCACCCUGGCCUCCGGAGAGGUUUGAUUCACCCACUUUCUCUCCCUCCAACGAUCCCGGUGUGACAGCUCUGGAGGAAAAGAAAGGCUGAAAUGCUCGUCUGGAGCCAGACUCCUGGCAGAUUGGAGGGGCUGAAUGGCAUCCAACCUCUCUCUGCUGCCAAACGUGGGAGCAACUGAGACUCUACUCAUCACACCCAGGGUCCCACCACGGGGGCACAAGGCAGAUGAAAAAGAGGACCUGCAAACCAGAACAGAGGACCAGCCUUAACAAUGUAUGGAAAGUGGGGAGGGAGAUGGCUCUGAGAUGAAAAGGGCCUGGACAGAUAUGCACAGUGGGGAAUCAGCCCACAGGA
This 1650-nucleotide long non-coding RNA is filed under the name Equus caballus (horse). RNAcentral's name for it is "lncRNA (ENSECAG00000053974.1)". The record is from RNAcentral. Lineage: Eukaryota; Metazoa; Chordata; Mammalia; Perissodactyla; Equidae.